This 29-nucleotide non-coding RNA is filed under the name Rattus norvegicus (Norway rat). The record is from RNAcentral. Lineage: Eukaryota; Metazoa; Chordata; Mammalia; Rodentia; Muridae.
UAAAACUGUAAGGAGACUAUUUCAAGUUA